AGCAGCCGCGGUAAUUCCAGCUCCAAUAGCGUAUAUUAAAGUUGUUGCAGUUAAAAAGCUCGUAGUUGAACUUCGGGGUUUACCCAUUGGUCAGGCUUAACUGUCUGUACUGGUGAGAUGAAUCUCUACCUUCUGAGGAACUUUCAUGCCAUUUAUUUGGUGUGAUUGGAAAUCAGGACUAUUACUUUGAAAAAAUUAGAGUGUUUAAAGCAGGCUAACGUCUGAAUACAUUAGCAUGGAAUAAUGAAAUAGGACGGACUGGUUCUAUUUUGUUGGUUUCUAGGAUCACCGUAAUGAUUAAUAGGGAUAGUUGGGGGCAUUAGUAUUCAAUUGUCAGAGGUGAAAUUCUUGGAUUUAUUGAAGACUAACUACUGCGAAAGCAUUUGCCAAGGAUGUUUUCAUUAAUCAAGAACGAAAGUUAGGGGAUCGAAGACGAUCAGAUACCGUCGUAGUCUUAACCAUAAACUAUGCCGACUAGGGAUCGGAUGAUGUUAAUUUUUUAAUGUACUCAUUCGGCGUA
Molecule: ribosomal RNA, 520 nt
Filed under: uncultured Diversispora
Lineage: Eukaryota; Fungi; Glomeromycota; Glomeromycetes; Diversisporales; Diversisporaceae
Description: SSU rRNA
Rfam family: Eukaryotic small subunit ribosomal RNA
Source: RNAcentral